UACACUCCUGCGGGAGGCAGCAGUGGGGAAUUUUGGACAAUGGGCGAAAGCCUGAUCCAGCAAUGCCGCGUGAGUGAAGAAGGCCUUCGGGUUGUAAAGCUCUUUUGUCAGGGAAGAAACGGUGAAAGCUAAUAUCUUUUGCUAAUGACGGUACCUGAAGAAUAAGCACCGGCUAACUACGUGCCAGCAGCCGCGGUAAUACGUAGGGUGCAAGCGUUAAUCGGAAUUACUGGGCGUAAAGCGUGCGCAGGCGGUUUUGUAAGUCUGAUGUGAAAUCCCCGGGCUCAACCUGGGAAUUGCAUUGGAGACUGCAAGGCUAGAAUCUGGCAGAGGGGGGUAGAAUUCCACGUGUAGCAGUGAAAUGCGUAGAUAUGUGGAGGAACACCGAUGGCGAAGGCAGCCCCCUGGGUCAAGAUUGACGCUCAUGCACGAAAGCGUGGGGAGCAAACAGGAUUAGAAACCCGUGUAGUCCCAU
This 475-nucleotide ribosomal RNA is filed under the name uncultured organism. RNAcentral's name for it is "partial 16S ribosomal RNA". It matches the Rfam family "Bacterial small subunit ribosomal RNA", at positions 332 to 798 of the family's 1533-position model. The record is from RNAcentral.